Molecule: ribosomal RNA, 604 nt
Filed under: uncultured Actinomycetes bacterium
Lineage: Bacteria; Bacillati; Actinomycetota; Actinomycetes
Description: bacterial SSU rRNA
Rfam family: Bacterial small subunit ribosomal RNA
Source: RNAcentral
GUGGGGUAAUGGCCUACCAAGGCGACGACGGGUAGCCGACCUGAGAGGGUGACCGGCCACACUGGGACUGAGACACGGCCCAGACUCCUACGGGAGGCAGCAGUGGGGAAUCUUGCACAAUGGGCGAAAGCCUGAUGCAGCGACGCCGCGUGGGGGAUGAAUGCCUUCGGGUUGUAAACCCCUUUCGGCAGGGAAGAAGCGCAAGUGACGGUACCUGCAGAAGAAGCCUCGGCUAACUACGUGCCAGCAGCCGCGGUAACACGUAGGAGGCGAGCGUUGUCCGGAAUCAUUGGGCGUAAAGAGCGCGCAGGCGGCUUGGCAAGUCGGGUGUGAAAUCCCGGGGCUCAACCCCGUGACUGCAUCCGAUACUGUCAGGCUAGAGGUAGGUAGGGGAGAUCGGAAUUCCUGGUGUAGCGGUGAAAUGCGCAGAUAUCAGGAGGAACACCGGUGGCGAAGGCGGAUCUCUGGGCCUUACCUGACGCUCAGGCGCGAAAGCUAGGGGAGCGAACAGGAUUAGAUACCCUGGUAGUCCUAGCCGUAAACGUUGGGUGCUAGGUGUGGGCGGAUAUCAACCCCGUCCGUGCCGAAGCUAACGCAUUAAGCA